AAUCCGCGACUUUUAAAAUCGUGAGGGUUCAAGUCCCUCU
RNAcentral lists this transfer RNA (40 nucleotides) under Lasiosiphon kraussianus. RNAcentral describes it as "Gnidia kraussiana partial tRNA-Leu (UAA)". Lineage: Eukaryota; Viridiplantae; Streptophyta; Magnoliopsida; Malvales; Thymelaeaceae. The record is from RNAcentral.